Molecule: ribosomal RNA, 429 nt
Filed under: Bacteroidota bacterium
Lineage: Bacteria; Pseudomonadati; Bacteroidota
Description: Bacteroidetes bacterium partial 16S ribosomal RNA
Rfam family: Bacterial small subunit ribosomal RNA
Source: RNAcentral
UAGGGAAUCUUCGGCAAUGGGGGGAACCCUGACCGAGCAACGCCGCGUGAGUGAAGAAGGUUUUCGGAUCGUAAAGCUCUGUUGUUAAGGAAGAACGAGUGUGAGAAUGGAAAGUUCAUACUGUGACGGUACUUAACCAGAAAGGGACGGCUAACUACGUGCCAGCAGCCGCGGUAAUACGUAGGUGCCGAGCGUUGUCCGGAUUUAUUGGGCGUAAAGCGAGCGCAGGCGGUUAGAUAAGUCUGAAGUUAAAGGCAGUGGCUCAACCAUUGUAGGCUUUGGAAACUGUUUAACUUGAGUGCAGAAGGGGAGAGUGGAAUUCCAUGUGUAGCGGUGAAAUGCGUAGAUAUAUGGAGGAACACCGGUGGCGAAGGCGGCUCUCUGGUCUGUAACUGACGCGGAGGCUCGAAAGCGUGGGGAGCGAACAGG